RNAcentral lists this ribosomal RNA (374 nucleotides) under uncultured eukaryote. RNAcentral's name for it is "SSU rRNA". It matches the Rfam family "Eukaryotic small subunit ribosomal RNA", at positions 587 to 972 of the family's 1831-position model. The record is from RNAcentral.
AGCUCCAAUAGCGUAUAUUAAAGUUGUUGCAGUUAAAAAGCUCGUAGUUGGAUUUCUGGCAUAAAUGAGUAGCACAUCUUAACUGAUUGUAGCCACUUCAUAAUGCCAUUUAUCUGAUAGUUUUGUGCUUCGCUGUGCAAUUCACAUCAGAUCAUUUACUUUGAGUAAAUUAGAGUGUUUCAAGCAAGUUACUGCUAUGAAUACUGCAGCAUGGAAUAAUAAGAUAGGACAUUGGAUCUAUUUUAUUGGUUUUGAGAGCCGAUGUAAUGAUUAAUAGGAACAGUUGGGGGCAUUCGUAUUCAACAGCUAGAGGUGAAAUUCUUAGAUUUGUUGAAGACGAACUACAGCGAAAGCAUUUGCCAAGGAUGUUUUCA